This 253-nucleotide ribosomal RNA is filed under the name uncultured bacterium. Its description in RNAcentral is "partial 16S ribosomal RNA". It matches the Rfam family "Bacterial small subunit ribosomal RNA", at positions 524 to 776 of the family's 1533-position model. The record is from RNAcentral.
GACAGAGGGUGCAAACGUUGUUCGGAAUUACUGGGCGUAAAGCGCGUGUAGGCGGCUUCGCAAGUCGGGUGUGAAAUCCCACGGCUCAACCGUGGAAGUGCAUUCGAAACUGCAAGGCUAGAGUCCUGGAGAGGAAGGUGGAAUGCUUGGUGUAGAGGUGAAAUUCGUAGAUAUCAGGAAGAACACCCGUGGCGAAGGCGGUUCUCUGGGACGGUACUGACGCUGAGACGCGAAAGCGUGGGGAGCGAACAGG